This 165-nucleotide ribosomal RNA is filed under the name Alyssum fastigiatum. RNAcentral describes it as "5.8S ribosomal RNA". It matches the Rfam family "5.8S ribosomal RNA". From Rfam's summary of the family: 5.8S ribosomal RNA (5.8S rRNA) is a component of the large subunit of the eukaryotic ribosome. It is transcribed by RNA polymerase I as part of the 45S precursor that also contains 18S and 28S rRNA. The record is from RNAcentral. Lineage: Eukaryota; Viridiplantae; Streptophyta; Magnoliopsida; Brassicales; Brassicaceae.
AAAACGACUCUCGGCAACGGAUAUCUCGGCUCUCGCAUCGAUGAAGAACGUAGCGAAAUGCGAUACUUGGUGUGAAUUGCAGAAUCCCGUGAGCCAUCGAGUCUUUGAACGCAAGUUGCGCCCUAAGCCUUCUGGCCGAGGGCACGUCUGCCUGGGUGUCACAAA